CAUAAACCAAGGAGAGCAUGAGCCUUGCCCCGACUAAAAAGAGACCUCUGUGAAAUGUGAUGUGGAGCCCGAAAACACAUCCGAGCCUUUGAUGAUUUUAAUCAGUAGUAAUGCAUUGUCAAAUGAGUUGUGAGGAAACCUUAGGAAUCCCACAAGAAAGACCUGCACUGGUGGUGUGCUCUUCCCUCUUUCCUUUGAGUGAUGGAGUUUACUUGUGGUCCUGCUGCUGCAGUGAAACGGGAUAUCAGGCCGGUGGUGGCUGGUCCCCUACAAGAAGGUGAGGCGCCUGAGGUCCCUCCGCCCCCUCUGGACAUCGAGGGGUCCCAGGCAUACACAGUACGUGCCAUUCUGGACUCGAGACGCCGGGUGAGGGGCCUAUAGUACCUCGUGGACUGUGAAGGGUACAGUCCGGAGGAGAGGUGCUGGGUAGCGGUGGGGGACAUUUUGGACCCCUUCACUCCUGAGGGACUUCCACCGCCUCCACUUGAAUUGAAG
This is a long non-coding RNA of Oncorhynchus tshawytscha (Chinook salmon), 495 nucleotides long. NCBI's taxonomy places the organism in Eukaryota, Metazoa, Chordata, Actinopteri, Salmoniformes, Salmonidae. The record is from Ensembl.